GAUGAACGCUGGCGGCGUGCCUAAUACAUGCAAGUCGAGCGAACGGACGAGAAGCUUGCUUCUCUGAUGUUAGCGGCGGACGGGGGAGUAACACGUGGAUAACCUACCUAUAAGACUGGGAUAACUUCGGGAAACCGGAGCUAAUACCGGAUGAUAUUUUGAACCGCAUGGUUCAAAAGUGAAAGACGGUCUUGCUGUCACUUAUAGAUGGAUCCGCGCUGCAUUAGCUAGUUGGUAAGGUAACGGCUUACCAAGGCAACGAUGCAUAGCCGACCUGAGAGGGUGAUCGGCCACACUGGAACUGGGACACGGUCCAGACUCCUACGGGAGGCAGCAGUAGGGAAUCUUCCGCAAUGGGCGAAAGCCUGACGGAGCAACACCGCGUGAGUGAUGAAGGUCUUCGGAUCGUAAAACUCUGUUAUUAGGGAAGAACAUAUGUGUAAGUAAAUGUGCACAUCUUGACGGUACCUAAUCAGAAAGCCACGGCUAACUACGUG
This 497-nucleotide ribosomal RNA is filed under the name uncultured bacterium. RNAcentral's name for it is "partial 16S ribosomal RNA". It matches the Rfam family "Bacterial small subunit ribosomal RNA", at positions 28 to 507 of the family's 1533-position model. The record is from RNAcentral.